UACGUAGGUCCCGAGCGUUGUCCGGAUUUAUUGGGCGUAAAGCGAGCGCAGGUGGUUUAUUAAGUCUGGUGUAAAAGGCAGUGGCUCAACCAUUGUAUGCAUUGGAAACUGGUAGACUUGAGUGCAGGAGAGGAGAGUGGUAUUCCAUGUGUAGCGGUGAAAUGCGUAGAUAUAUGGAGGAACACCGGUGGCGAAAGCGGCUCUCUGGCCUGUAACUGACACUGAGGCUCGAAAGCGUGGGGAGCAAACAGG
This 252-nucleotide ribosomal RNA is filed under the name uncultured bacterium. Its description in RNAcentral is "partial 16S ribosomal RNA". It matches the Rfam family "Bacterial small subunit ribosomal RNA", at positions 524 to 776 of the family's 1533-position model. The record is from RNAcentral.